AGCGAACGUUAGCGGCGGGCCUAACACAUGCAAGUCGAACGCGAAAGGUCUUCGGACUGAGUAGAGUGGCGCACGGGUGAGUAACACGUAGGUAAUCUACCCUUUGGCGGGGGAUAACGUUCCGAAAGGAGCGCUAAUACCGCAUAAGACUACGGAGUCUCCGGACGCUGUGGGAAAAGGUGGCCUCUUCUUGAAAGCUACCACCGAAGGAUGAGCCUGCGUCCCAUCAGCUAGUUGGUAAGGUAAUGGCUUACCAAGGCGAAGACGGGUAGCUGGUUUGAGAGAAUGAUCAGCCACACUGGCACUGGAACACGGGCCAGACUCCUACGGGAGGCAGCAGUGAGGAAUAUUGGGCAAUGGGCGAAAGCCUGACCCAGCCACGCCGCGUGAGUGAUGAAGGCC
This 402-nucleotide ribosomal RNA is filed under the name uncultured bacterium. Its description in RNAcentral is "bacterial SSU rRNA". It matches the Rfam family "Bacterial small subunit ribosomal RNA", at positions 29 to 416 of the family's 1533-position model. The record is from RNAcentral.